GUUUGUUGUUUCACACACUGUUUUUCUUCAUAUCUACUAGACAUAGUCUAUUUAUAAGCAAGCGUCAGUGUUGCAUAUGUAUGUACAUACAUAUACUCGAACAGAGAUAGAGACAUGCAAAAUUUAUAAAACACAAAAAAAAAAAAACAAUCAACAAAUAAGGUAUAUUCAUGCAUUGCGCUUCGCAAACAUGCAAUCGCGUCAAUCGUGAAUUGUGCGCACAAGUGAAAAGAACUCAGUUCGUGGUAGAAUUUUGUGAAAAUUUGACAAUUAUUAUAAGUGAAAAUUUUUUGUAUGCGCCCGAGUUAGCCGUAGGAAAUUUUGCAGUGAUUUACAUAUCGUUAGCAAGUAAAUUUAGUGGCUUUCGCGUUGCAAAAGAAACGCACUUGAGAAAUGCGUUUGGCAGGAUUCGGUCGUCUGUCGUCGUCGUAGAUGUAAAAUCGAUAUUUUCGUGCUGUAUCUUACGGCGAAAGGUGCUCGGCAGCAGUGCUGUCGCUUGAGCGCCGCAGCGCGGUAGCAACGUAACCGGCAGCGGCAACGUCAACAGCAGCGCAGCAAAGUCUACAGCAACGAAAAUAAUAAUAAAAUAAUAUAAGCAGCAACGCGUUUAACGGUAAAAUAGUGAGCAAUACGUUUACGAAAGCUGCGGAAUGACAACUAAGUGCGCGUCGCUGUCUGCGCUUUGCUAGCGCUCGAGCUUUUGCUAGCUGCAUAUCGACAGGCGCUGCCGCUGAUGAUAAUUAUAUUGUUGAUGAGAAUAGCUACGUCUAUGAUUAUGACUAUGCCUAUGAUUACUACGAUGGCGAUAACGUUGACGAACGCGAUGUCAUUCCCAACUGCCUGCUCGUUGGCGUAUCCGUGUCUCGUCGAUUUGUGCCGCUCGGCUACAAUCACUACCAACACAACCAGUAGCGCUACUACUAAUACUACUACUACUACCGUGAAACAUACAUGCGAGUCAGCUCUUUUAUGGAUGUUGUUGCACUUGUUGUUGUUACCGUCUGCAGCCUUAAAAUAUGCCGUAAAAAAUGUAAACGUGACUCGUGCAGCGUUGGCGGCGACGUCGUCGUUAUCGUCGUCUCUGUCAUCGUUGUUAGCAUUGGCUGCGGCGUUUUAAAGGAAGUGCUUUCUAGAAAGGCCAGUCUGUUCGCAAGCCAGUUAGUUAGUGGUGAGACAAAGAAGCGAGCGCCUAAAAAGAAGGAGUUAAACAAGACAGCCAGACAGCUAGGCAGUCUUUGAAGCAACUCAACUGGACCCAGUCACAGCACCGAGUGAGACAGGAAACGCGACCUCAAAGGCGUCGUACAUACUAAAGCAGCAACGUUAGUCAGCUUCUUGGCAGCGUUUUUUUUUUUUUUAGUUUUAAAAGAAUGAAACGCUCUGCAUAUUUGUGAAGUUAGUCGCAUUUAAGAAAAACUGUGUUUAAGCUGUGCUAAAUAUAAUAAUAAUGAUAAAGUUUGUUAGGCAAAAGAAUCGCGAACAAACAGUUAAAGCAUCAAGCAAGAGUUUCUUUAAGAAAAAGGGCGAGUCGAAUGAUUCCGGUACCGAAUCUGAUGGUGACGUCCUAGAUGUUGACAAGCAUCGCCCCUUAGACUUGGACAUGGAAACCAGCUUAAGCUCGUGCGCCGAUGUGAAUUCGCCAACCACAGACACCGCCUGCUCCUCGUCAGCGUCCUCUGCGAUGAUGUGUCAAUCCCACCUUUUAUACGAUCAACACAGCUCCGAGGAGGAAUUGGAAGUGAUCAAUGGACCAUCAUCGGUUGCAGCCGCUGAGGCGGCGUCCAAUGUAUUGGGGGUGCGGGGCACCGCCUCAUCACUCAUAUCGGAGCGUGGCUCAUCGUCGUUGGAGCCCGAAGAACUAUUCGGCGAAGCAUCGACAUCGAAACGUUCCAGCUCAACAUUAGUUGAGAAUCGUAAAAGAUCUCUGGCCCACAGCUCCGAUGAUGACCAGCUGAGGAACUUCUUGGAACCGGUGUUGACCCCAGUGAAUUUUCGCACAUCGCCACCAUUGGAAGCUUUCAAGCCAAACCGCAGCCACAAAUAUCGCUCCACAACGCCACUGAUAUUAUCGGAGGCGCGCUGUGGCAUCGAAAAUAUUAAAUUAUGUGAUAAUAGUGUUAAUGACGAAAAUGGUGAGGCUGCUGGCGCUGCGUCGUGUGCGUCGUCGUCGUUGGGCGCAGCAAGUGGUGGCAACGGUAGCGGUGGUGGUGGCGGCGCCUGCGGUGGUAACGCCAGUUCAACGAGUGUGAUUAAGGCGUGCGCCUCAUCGCUCAAAAUGAGCAAUAGCAGCCAUCAUAUCUAUCAGCCGCAACCGAAAUAUAAUUUCCACUAUAAUAGUUCGCGCAGCAGUCCAGCAUCAACGACCGCUCUCGAUGCGAUGGAGGUGCGCUCGGUUAGUCCACCGGCGAAACUCUUCCAUUCGGCUAGAUCACCACACCGCCGACCGAUACGCACACAACACGCCACACAGAGGCUACAGCGACCACAUCGGCCGUGCUUAGACUUCGACAAAAUGCAGCAACUCGCAUUACCCAAAACGAAUACAGUAUGAUGAUGCUGAUUGAUGAGGAUAAAUGAUAUCUAAGAAAGAUGAUGAUCAUGAUGAUGAUGAUGAUGAUGAUGAUGUUUAUGUUGAGGGAAGCAUAAUGAGUUAAAGAGCAUCUUUUGCUGCCUCCUUAGCGGCAGCGCGCUGAUGAAUGCGCUCAUGGCGACGCAGAUCACCGAGCAAACGAAAGCAUUUGGAACAAACUGUGCAUUCGUAAGGCUUUUCACCUAAAAUUAAAAAAGAAAAGAAAUGCUUAAUAAACAGAAAAGCUUAUUUCACAUAAUUUUGCCUCACUUACCAGUG
This 2848-nucleotide unclassified non-coding RNA is filed under the name Rhagoletis pomonella (apple maggot). RNAcentral's name for it is "uncharacterized LOC118740902, transcript variant X8". Lineage: Eukaryota; Metazoa; Arthropoda; Insecta; Diptera; Tephritidae. The record is from RNAcentral.